RNAcentral lists this ribosomal RNA (403 nucleotides) under Verrucomicrobiota bacterium. RNAcentral's name for it is "Verrucomicrobia bacterium partial 16S ribosomal RNA". It matches the Rfam family "Bacterial small subunit ribosomal RNA", at positions 355 to 776 of the family's 1533-position model. The record is from RNAcentral. Lineage: Bacteria; Pseudomonadati; Verrucomicrobiota.
GGGGGAAUAUUGCACAAUGGGGGAAACCCUGAUGCAGCGUCGCCGCGUGAGCGAAGAAGGCUUUCGAGUCGUAAAGCUCUGUCCUAUGAGAAGAUAAUGACGGUAUCAUAGGAGGAAGCCCUGGCUAAAUACGUGCCAGCAGCCGCGGUAAUACGUAUGGGGCGAGCGUUGUCCGGAAUUAUUGGGCGUAAAGGGUACGUAGGCGGUUUUUUAAGUCAGGUGUCAAAGCGUGGAGCUUAACUCCAUUAAGCACUUGAAACUGAAAGACUUGAGUGAAGGAGAGGAAAGUGGGAUUCCUAGGGUAGCAGUGAAAUGCGGAAAUAAUAGGAGGAAUACCGGUGGCGAAGGCGACUUUCUGGACUUUUACUGACGCUCAGGUACGAAAGCGUGGGGAGCAAACAGG